This 811-nucleotide ribosomal RNA is filed under the name uncultured bacterium. Its description in RNAcentral is "bacterial SSU rRNA". It matches the Rfam family "Bacterial small subunit ribosomal RNA", at positions 636 to 1446 of the family's 1533-position model. The record is from RNAcentral.
UNUGACUUGAGUGCAGAAGGGGAGAGUGGAAUUCCAUGUGUAGCGGUGAAAUGCGUAGAUAUAUGGAGGANCACCAGUGGCGAAAGCGGCUCUNUGGUCUGUCACUGACGCUGAGGCUCGAAAGCGUGGGUAGCGAACAGGAUUAGAUACCCUGGUAGUNCACGCCGUAAACGAUGAGUGCUAGGUGUUAGGCCCUUCCCGGGGCUUAGUGCCGGAGCUAACGCAAUAAGCACUCCGCCUGGGGAGUACGACCGCAAGGUUGAAACUCAAAGGAAUUGACGGGGGCCCGCACAAGCGGUGGAGCAUGUGGUUUAAUUCGAAGCAACGCGAAGAACCUUACCAGGUCUUGACAUCCCGAUGCUAUUCUUAGAGAUAGGAAGUUACUUCGGUACAUCGGAGACAGGUGGUGCAUGGUUGUCGUCAGCUCGUGUCGUGAGAUGUUGGGUUAAGUCCCGCAACGAGCGCAACCCUUAUUGUUAGUUGCCAUCAUUAAGUUGGGCACUCUAGCGAGACUGCCGGUAAUAAACCGGAGGAAGGUGGGGAUGACGUCAAAUCAUCAUGCCCCUUAUGACCUGGGCUACACACGUGCUACAAUGGUCGGUACAACGAGUUGCGAGCCGGUGACGGCAAGCUAAUCUCUGAAAGCCGAUCUCAGUUCGGAUUGGAGGCUGCAACUCGCCUCCAUGAAGUCGGAAUCGCUAGUAAUCGCGGAUCAGCACGCCGCGGUGAAUACGUUCCCGGGCCUUGUACACACCGCCCGUCACACCACGAGAGUUUGUAACACCCGAAGUCGGUGAGGUANCCUUUUAGG